GUACUUGCUUCAGUAGCGCAUUUACUAAAAUUGAAAUGACGCACAGAAGGUCAGCGUGGGCCUUGCACAAGAAUGGCAAGCAAAUUCACCUGGUGUUCCAUGUUUGA
Molecule: small nuclear RNA, 107 nt
Organism: Ailuropoda melanoleuca (giant panda)
Lineage: Eukaryota; Metazoa; Chordata; Mammalia; Carnivora; Ursidae
Source: Ensembl